This is a non-coding RNA of Vicia faba (fava bean), 207 nucleotides long. NCBI's taxonomy places the organism in Eukaryota, Viridiplantae, Streptophyta, Magnoliopsida, Fabales, Fabaceae. The record is from the annotation of a GenBank genome assembly.
AUGUUUACAAUAGGAGAAGGUGGAGAAGGUUCAGAUGAAACAGAUACACAAGGUGAAGAAGUAAAAGGUUCAGAUGUUAUCUUAAUAUUUUUCUCAGGGGUUGUUCCUGCUACCUUUCUAGAUCGCAAAGAGAUUGUGUUAACAUUGACAUUAGGACCACCAUUCGGAUUGACAACAGUUUGGGCUGGAAGUUGGAGUUGUGCAUAG